CGGUCUUGUUCACUGUUUUUGUUCUUUAAAAUAUCUAUUUCUUCCCAUUCAAGAAGUCUCCUUUCUCACUCACUCGCAGCUCCAACGACCAACUACAAGCUACCCCCACCUUCCGUAUUUCAGAAUCGAAAACAAAUUAAGCAAAAAGGAGGGUCAUACUCGUAUCUGCAAAAGAGGCCAAAAAAAAAAAGUUUCAGCUUCUGCGAAACAAAAAGGAGAUAUUAUGAGCAGCUCGUUGCCACGCUUUCCUGUGCCUCAUAAGACGCUCUCUUUGGAAAUUAAGGGGAAAAAGACAGAUAUUGUCAUCUGCAGUUAUGAUGAUCAUUUCUUUGUAAGUUCUUGAUCCCAG
This is a long non-coding RNA of Morus notabilis, 349 nucleotides long. RefSeq lists it as uncharacterized. The record is from RefSeq and is a predicted model, not a curated record. NCBI's taxonomy places the organism in Eukaryota, Viridiplantae, Streptophyta, Magnoliopsida, Rosales, Moraceae. The transcript has 3 exons.